UACGUAGGGUGCAAGCGUUAAUCGGAAUUACUGGGCGUAAAGCGUGCGCAGGCGGUUGUGCAAGACAGAUGUGAAAUCCCCGGGCUCAACCUGGGAACUGCGUCUGAUACUGGGAGGCUUGAGUAUGGGAGAGGGAUGUAGAAUUCCAGGUGUAGCGGUGAAAUGCGUAGAUAUCUGGAGGAAUACCGGUGGCGAAGGCGGCAUCCUGGACCGGCAUUGACGCUGAGGAGCGAAAGCCAGGGGAGCAAACGGG
RNAcentral lists this ribosomal RNA (253 nucleotides) under uncultured bacterium. RNAcentral describes it as "partial 16S ribosomal RNA". It matches the Rfam family "Bacterial small subunit ribosomal RNA", at positions 524 to 776 of the family's 1533-position model. The record is from RNAcentral.